AUAUCUUCUCUAUUAGGGCAUGGCUACACUUGCAGUUGUAGAGUGCUGGGAGUUAAACCAGCCUUUGGAGACGGCAGCAGGGAAAACACU
Chelonia mydas (Green sea turtle) is the source of this 90-nucleotide long non-coding RNA. RefSeq lists it as uncharacterized. The record is from RefSeq and is a predicted model, not a curated record. Lineage: Eukaryota; Metazoa; Chordata; Testudines; Cheloniidae. The transcript is spliced from 3 exons.